UCUUCCUCGUUGCAUUCCUUUCUCUGCCGCUCGCGUCGCGGUCGCCAUCGAGGGCCUGCCGCCCCGCGUCGCCGCUUCCCUAUCGAGCUAGCGCGUCACGCCGUUGGGAGGAGGCCAGGCAGAGCGACGGGAGGUGGCCAAGCGGAGCGAGACAGGGGCCACCCAUCCUCCUCCUGUCCCGGCUCUCCUCCUCCCCGCAUAUCGGUUGCGCCGCUGCUCUCCCAUCGAUCUCGCGUGCCGCCAUCACCAGGAGGAGUGAGUGGAUUGAGGACCUGCCAUUCUCGCCAUUGCUUCCCCGUCGAGCUCGCGCAUCACAUCAACGGGAGGAGAGGCUGCCGCUGCUCUACCCAGAGGAGCGCGCUGUCGACAAGAGGAGUCAAGGCGGAGGUCGCCGCUCCACCGUCGCCACCAGCUAUGCUCUGGGUGACGAAAAUAUACCUCUGGGUGACGCUAACUGGUUCCAGUGGCUCGGCCCAGCCCUGCACCGCAGGAAGAAUAGGAAGCGGGGAGGGAGGAAGGGAAGGAAGACGAGAUCGUGGCCGGCACGCUGCGUCCAUUCAUCCAGGUACUGAUUGGUGUCACGGCUAAGGUUGGCUGGGUGUUUUUUGGGUGUUCAGGUCUCAGAAAUGCUGCUUAGAGGAAGCUCCUCGAUGAGCUAGGCAUCCCAGCUUGAUGAUGUGCCCAGCGACCGGUUCACCGCUCUUGGCUGGAUGCUUUACAGGGCGCAGGCCGUAGAGGCGGAAGAGGAGGUUGAGACAUCCGCGUCGCUUGCUGCAGCGACCACGACCGAUGCAUCGAAAGAGAGGGGCCUAGAGGUCUUGCUCCGACCCCACAGAGGGCAUGCCAAUGGCCGGAGUAUAGGAGGAGGCCCAGGCAGAGCGCGCCAUCUCCAUCGACUGCCAUUUAUUUUAAGUGACGCUUCAUGCCUCGUACGAUAAAUUGCUAAAACAACCAACAUAUAGACGUUUUACUGAAGUGGAUGUCGUCGUGCCACAACUAUGCGUUGGAUCUCAAGGCUGGCUGGGCGUCCACAUCGUCCACUGCAGGGUCGAGGUCAGGGGUCUCAAGAUGAAUGUAUCUCUUCUGUUUAUGCUUGCAAUUCUUUCCUUCUCUACAUUGCACUCCAAUUGUUUCCUUUGCUCAUUUAUUCUCAUAUAGAUGCUUUGCGCUUAAGUGCCUAUAACAAACUAUGUCACCAUUUCCUGCUAUUUAAGUAUGAUUAUGCCAGAUGUGAGCAUUUACCAUGUACUGUAAUAUCUAAUGAUUCAAUCAAUGUAAGAUGAAGAUUUCCAGAAAAUAUCAAGUAUUGGGAGAUGCAUAUUUAGGCCUGGAACUAUCUUGCCAAAACUUCUAUACAUAUAGCGACCUCUUCGUUUUUUUCCUGCUUCUAGGUGUUGGUGCUGGUUCUGACUUAUUUACGAUCACAUUUAUAAAGUGCUACUCUCCUUCAUCUCAUGUUUCUAUCCUAAUCCAACUAACUGGUUGUGUUGUGGACGGCAUCACCAUAACCAUAUCGAUGGUCCAAGCCCCUUUCUCGUGUUUUUUGUUUCUUAACCUACAGGCUGUUGUGCUCGAGUUGAUGAGGCAUCCUCGCAUAAAUGGAUUGAGAGUCAAAGCGCCAGAGGCUGGAAGAAAGGCAUUUCCAAAAUUGAACUGACAAAUGCUGACAUACGCAAGCCUCUGUUCCUAGAUGAUAUCUCUAAGUGCACUAAGGAAGACGCCAUCAUCUUAUGAGGCAGUGGCCAAUAAGAUCAAGAAAUCCAAGCGAGUAGGCCGUAUGUUGUGAAGUGGUCGCCCUUGUGGACUUGAUACCUCAGCCACAAGGAGAAGAUGAUGCCCUUUUUAUUUAGCAGCAGACUUUGUUAAGAUAUUGUACUUAGGUUAAUGCCUUUAUAAGGAUGUUCUAAAUUAGUGCAAAUAUGUAGCUGUCCUGCCCUUACUUUACAUUAUGUGUCGUUAGAAGUAUGAGUUAGUGCACUAGGUGGACAAUAUUAGACAAUGUGUAUCUGUAAGACUGCUAACCCUUGGCUAUUGUAAUCUAAGUAGAUUUGCUCAUUA
Triticum aestivum (bread wheat) is the source of this 2058-nucleotide long non-coding RNA. RefSeq lists it as uncharacterized. Lineage: Eukaryota; Viridiplantae; Streptophyta; Magnoliopsida; Poales; Poaceae. The transcript has 11 exons. The record is from RefSeq and is a predicted model, not a curated record.